Molecule: long non-coding RNA, 354 nt
Organism: Cyanistes caeruleus (blue tit)
Lineage: Eukaryota; Metazoa; Chordata; Aves; Passeriformes; Paridae
Source: RefSeq, a predicted model, not a curated record
GGAAAAAGGCAACAAAACCUCCGAGGUGGGCCAGGAACAGCACAGCCCUGACCUGCAGUGGAGAGGAGCUCUCUUGUUUUAGUCCAACCAUCAGAAGAAAAGGGAUUAAAGCCACCACACAGCAUCAGAUCUGUCUCUGAUACAAACAUCCAUUUCAUGGGAGAUAGAGCCAAAGACUGGACUCCGAGCUUACAGCAGCCAUUUGGAGCUUCUUAAGGACAGACAGCAUAGCCAGAAGAGGAAGAACAUGUCCUUUUAAUUUAACCUGACCUGUGAUCAGCAUGGUGCCAUCUCCCCUCAAUUUGGGCCAAUGAGAGAACAAAUUGUCGCCUCCACCACUUUCUUUGCUAUUUU